UGCUUUUUCUCUGUACACCUAAUUGUACAACUAGUCAGUUUGCAGGUUCCUCACCUAUUUAUAUAAAGGCCCUGGUAUUUGCAUGAAUGUGUCUCCUUCAUAAAAUGGUGACAUUCUUGAAGGAAGGAAGUGGAAAUCCUUGGUCCUCUGCACAUAGGCAAGCGUCAAGAGGAAAAUAAUCUGCAAAUGGCAUAAUCAUACGGUGCUCUCUGGGAGGAAGAAGCUGAAUUUUGGAUGGGGCUCCAGCUCGUGGGCAGGAAUUAGUCUGGCAGAAAUAAGCAGGAGCGUGAGUAGAUGCUGCUGAAUGUUGCAAUAGCCAGUUUUGAAGGAACACCUUUGUAGCUGUUUGAGAGGUGUGUGAUCACCACAGGCCUGCACUGCUGUGGGAAGCUGAGAUCUCUCACAACAAAUGCCAUUGAAAAAUGUGUAGUGCUAACACAGCUGCUAAUAAAACUGGUAGGGUGUUGUUGGGAGCAUGAAAAUUGAAGUAGCAGCUGAGGUUGUCAAAUUGGAGACUUACCACUUUUGGACUGAUACAGGUCCCUUCCUAUUGGAAGCUUUCAUAACAUUUAUUUUAACAAAGUUGUGGUUAAAAGAAACAUCACAGUAAUAGUGUUCCUAAGGCUUGCCACAGGAU
This is a long non-coding RNA of Parus major (Great Tit), 637 nucleotides long. RefSeq lists it as uncharacterized. The transcript has 3 exons. Lineage: Eukaryota; Metazoa; Chordata; Aves; Passeriformes; Paridae. The record is from RefSeq and is a predicted model, not a curated record.